AACGAGUUAUCUGAACCUUCGGGGAACGAUAACGGCGUCCAGUGGCGGACGGGUGAGUAAUGCCUAGGAAAUUGCCCUGAUGUGGGGGAUAACCAUUGGAAACGAUGGCUAAUACCGCAUAACGCCUACGGGCCAAAGAGGGGGACCUUCGGGCCUCUCGCGUCAGGAUAUGCCUAGGUGGGAUUAGCUAGUUGGUGAGGUAAGGGCUCACCAAGGCGACGAUCCCUAGCUGGUCUGAGAGGAUGAUCAGCCACACUGGAACUGAGACACGGUCCAGACUCCUACGGGAGGCAGCAGUGGGGAAUAUUGCACAAUGGGCGCAAGCCUGAUGCAGCCAUGCCGCGUGUGUGAAGAAGGCCUUCGGGUUGUAAAGCACUUUCAGUCGUGAGGAAGGUAGUGUAGUUAAUAGCUGCAUUAUUUGACGUUAGCGACAGAAGAAGCACCGGCUAACUCCGUGCCAGCAGCCGCGGUAAUACGGAGGGUGCGAGCGUUAAUCGGAAUUACUGGGCGUAAAGCGCAUGCAGGUGGUUUGUUAAGUCAGAUGUGAAAGCCCGGGGCUCAACCUCGGAAUUGCAUUUGAAAACUGGCAGACUAGAGUACU
RNAcentral lists this ribosomal RNA (601 nucleotides) under uncultured Vibrio sp. RNAcentral's name for it is "bacterial SSU rRNA". It matches the Rfam family "Bacterial small subunit ribosomal RNA", at positions 65 to 650 of the family's 1533-position model. The record is from RNAcentral. Lineage: Bacteria; Pseudomonadati; Pseudomonadota; Gammaproteobacteria; Vibrionales; Vibrionaceae.